CUUGAAAUUGUCGGGAGG
This 18-nucleotide small nuclear RNA is filed under the name Arabidopsis thaliana (thale cress). RNAcentral's name for it is "snRNA_03578". The record is from RNAcentral. Lineage: Eukaryota; Viridiplantae; Streptophyta; Magnoliopsida; Brassicales; Brassicaceae.